ACUUGUACUUCGGGGCCCAUGGCAGUCUUCACCCCACUCCUUGUCUCCUUCAGCCCCACCUCUAGGGCGACCUCUGCCACCCUGUCACGACCCAAACCCGCCCCUAUGGGUUUAGCACCGUAACCGGCCAGUAAUCCAAGAUUACCGAAGGCCUGCUUAACAGUAAUACAGUAAAACAGAGCACAGGGGCAUGGCGGAAGCCAAAACAGUAAAUAAACAAUGUCCAAUGAGCUGUGACAGUCUGUAUGCCAAAAAGACUUUUCAUACACAUAUACAUGAACAGUACAGAACAGUAUGUACAUAUAUACAAUCAUUCAGUU
Molecule: unclassified non-coding RNA, 320 nt
Filed under: uncultured bacterium
Lineage: Bacteria
Description: contains 16S-23S intergenic spacer region
Source: RNAcentral